This 429-nucleotide ribosomal RNA is filed under the name Actinomycetes bacterium. Its description in RNAcentral is "Actinobacteria bacterium partial 16S ribosomal RNA". It matches the Rfam family "Bacterial small subunit ribosomal RNA", at positions 355 to 776 of the family's 1533-position model. The record is from RNAcentral. Lineage: Bacteria; Bacillati; Actinomycetota; Actinomycetes.
UAGGGAAUCUUCCGCAAUGGGCGAAAGCCUGACGGAGCAACGCCGCGUGCGUGAUGAAGGUCUUCGGAUCGUAAAACUCUGUUAUUAGGGAAGAACAAAUGUGUAAGUAACUAUGCACGUCUUGACGGUACCUAAUCAGAAAGCCACGGCUAACUACGUGCCAGCAGCCGCGGUAAUACGUAGGUGGCAAGCGUUAUCCGGAAUUAUUGGGCGUAAAGCGCGCGUAGGCGGUUUUUUAAGUCUGAUGUGAAAGCCCACGGCUCAACCGUGGAGUGUCAUUUGAAACUGGAAAACUUGAGUGCAGAAGAGGAAAGUGGAAUUCCAUGUGUAGCGGUGAAAUGCGCAGAGAUAUGGAGGAACACCAGUGGCGAAGGCGACUUUCUAGUCUGUAACUGACGCUGAUGUGCGAAAGCGUGGGGAUCAAACAGG